AUAGUAUUCGGAUCGUUCGUAUAUCGAGCAAUUUCACCCGCUUGGUGCAAAGUCUUCCCUUUACCAU
RNAcentral lists this microRNA precursor (67 nucleotides) under Bombyx mori (domestic silkworm). RNAcentral describes it as "mir-2774 microRNA precursor family". It matches the Rfam family "mir-2774 microRNA precursor family". The record is from Rfam by way of RNAcentral. Lineage: Eukaryota; Metazoa; Arthropoda; Insecta; Lepidoptera; Bombycidae.